GAUUCAAGCUACUUUAAGAGCAAAUGGUGGAUGCCUUGGUAUCUGGAGCCGAAGAAGGACGUAGCAAUCUGCGAUAAGCCUCGGGAAGCUGAUAAGCGAGCUUUGAUCCGAGGAUUUCCGAAUGGGGAAACCUG
Molecule: ribosomal RNA, 134 nt
Filed under: Tropheryma whipplei
Lineage: Bacteria; Bacillati; Actinomycetota; Actinomycetes; Micrococcales; Tropherymataceae
Description: partial 23S ribosomal RNA
Rfam family: Bacterial large subunit ribosomal RNA
Source: RNAcentral